GUAAAUUUGUAAACAUUUCAACAAAAUCAUGUUUCCAUGACUUUAUCAUGGGUUUACUUCUGCUAAAAGCAGAAAACUCUGUUUUUAUUAUUUUUUAUCUUAUUUUUUUAAUUUUCGUUCCGAAUUUAUCUCUAUGGCAAUUCUAGUGCCGCAGAUCGACAGAUCUCAGAGUUGUGCCUUGUCACGCGCGAAGUGGCAGAAGAAAGUUGCAUUCAAGCGUUUUCAUUCGGCGCACAACCACUCGUAAUCCUCGCUCGUAAUACUCGCAAUUCGGUCGGCCGGUGGCAAUUCGGCCUGUAAAAUGUACGCCCCGUCGUUUAUCACGCCGCUAUUCUUCCGUCCCGUUUUCCUCCGACCUCCCCCUACCCCUUUUUUCCAUAAAUCCGCGCUAUAAUUUCGAGUUUACAGUAAUGCGCGUCCUCGCGCGCGGCGCGAAGGAAGAUGUAAUCGUUUAUUAUCUCGGCGACGACGAGAAUCCGCGGAUUGGAAUUUUUGCGCGGAUGCAAAAGGAAAGGUGCCAGGAUCGUAGGGGGAUGGGGAAGGAUCCCGGUGGAAGAAGAGUUACGCGGGUCAUUUACCGUUUGUAUUAAAGUAGAUCGGUCGGACAAGAGCGCCUUUGUCUCGCGAAAUGACGCGGUUCUUUGCGGCUUGCAGACACGUAAUUCGACCAUUGUGCGGCAAUUGCGUGGAAUUACGAUCGCGUAGCGAUCUAGCAGUACAAUUACGCCAAGUACCCAUGUAUAUUCGUUGGAGUAUACCUUCAUACAAACAUACGCGAGUGGGGUACGGAUCAUAAAGUGGUUCUCCGAUUUAAAUUGCGAAUUUUAUCGAGACACUUUCGAGAGAAUUAGCGGUCUGUCAGUUACACCGAAACUCUGAAAAUCGAGUGCUAACUGCCGGGAAGGCAGUUUUCGUACGACAGAAACAGAGCCGGGACAUAAAGGGUUUUCCUCGACAGUAUUUCAGCGUGGUUCAAAAGUGAUUACGAAAGGCCUCGAAGAAAAUCAUCCUCCCGCUGAUUGGAAACGUUGAAAGGAAACUGUGCCAAACUGUAAUUCACUGACCGGAACGUGCGCUUUUAUAAAAGAACUUUAGAUGAAAUGGCGUGAUCCUUUUAGAUCUUCUUACAUUCUUCGGUAAGCACGAGUACUUAUUAGACUCGAUUAUUUCUCGAUACCAUUUUUAUUUUCCAGAUACCUGCGAAGAGAGAGGAAGGUCCGGGAUGUCGAUCGCAUAGGAUUGUUUUUAUUAAGAAUUUUAUCAUUGAUUAAUUGCAAUAUAAUUAACAGUAUUAUCUCAUAGUGCCGCCUCUCUUUAACGCGUUGUCGUAUUUUUUACACACUUGUUGAAUUCUAUGCAAAUAUUUAUAUUCCGUUAGUUACAGUUACUUUGAGCUUCAUUAAUUUAAUUUAAUUAGCAACGCGCGGACAUUUUAGAUAAUUAAAUAUAUAAAUACCUACUUCUUUCAACUGUAAACUGUUUUUCGAGAUUAACAGGAUUGAAGCUAUAUUAUGAAAUAGUGAUGCGAACAGCUGCGAACACUGUCAUAAUUUUCCAGUCUUUUGUUUAAUCGCGAAUUGCUGCGACGUGUCACAUAAUCGUUGAAUAUAUUGGGCCGCGAUUAUGCGAUAUAUUAAUUAUAUCAUUGAAUAUAUUGGGCGCCUAUGAAAUCAGUAGUGCGAAAGGCAAACUCUAUAAAGACAAAUUACAAA
This is a long non-coding RNA of Pogonomyrmex barbatus (red harvester ant), 1712 nucleotides long. The record is from RefSeq and is a predicted model, not a curated record. Lineage: Eukaryota; Metazoa; Arthropoda; Insecta; Hymenoptera; Formicidae.